Molecule: long non-coding RNA, 302 nt
Filed under: Mus musculus (house mouse)
Lineage: Eukaryota; Metazoa; Chordata; Mammalia; Rodentia; Muridae
Description: lincRNA-EC276
Source: RNAcentral
GAUGAUGAAUCAGGGAGGCUGUGUCCUCUGCUCUCUGGCCCUCCACCGUUCAUUCUCCUGUGUAAGUGCCAGUGUGUGUUUCUUUCUCCAGCCUCACGCUCUAAACAAGAUGCCUCUGGCAGAGGCCCGGGUAGAUGGAGUCUCUCAAGUCCAGUACAACUUCAUUGUCCCUGACUUAUGAAGCGUGAGGUUUCCGCCAUCUCCUAUGACGAGGAGUCUCAGUCCCCAUACGUAGAGGGAACAUUUCUGUCUGACCCUAGCAAGGAGUCAGGAGACAUGCACAAUGCUGGUCUGACUUGCAC